This 450-nucleotide ribosomal RNA is filed under the name uncultured bacterium. Its description in RNAcentral is "bacterial SSU rRNA". It matches the Rfam family "Bacterial small subunit ribosomal RNA", at positions 354 to 796 of the family's 1533-position model. The record is from RNAcentral.
GUGGGGAAUAUUGGACAAUGGGCGAAAGCCUGAUCCAGCCAUGCCGCGUGUGUGAAGAAGGUCUUCGGAUUGUAAAGCACUUUAAGUUGGGAGGAAGGGCAGUAAGUUAAUACCUUGCUGUUUUGACGUUACCAACAGAAUAAGCACCGGCUAACUUCGUGCCAGCAGCCGCGGUAAUACGAAGGGUGCAAGCGUUAAUCGGAAUUACUGGGCGUAAAGCGCGCGUAGGUGGUUUUGUAAGUUGGAGGUGAAAUCCCCGGGCUCAACCUGGGAACUGCCUCCAAAACUGCAUGACUAGAGUACGGUAGAGGGUAGUGCAAUUUCCUGUGUAGCGGUGAAAUGCGUAGAUAUAGGAAGGAACACCAGUGGCGAAGGCGACUACCUGGACUGAUACUGACACUGAGGUGCGAAAGCGUGGGGAGCAAACAGGAUUAGAAACCCCAGUAGUCC